This 99-nucleotide ribosomal RNA is filed under the name uncultured bacterium. RNAcentral's name for it is "partial 16S ribosomal RNA". It matches the Rfam family "Bacterial small subunit ribosomal RNA", at positions 1384 to 1482 of the family's 1533-position model. The record is from RNAcentral.
UACACACCGCCCGUCACACCAUGGGAGUUGGCUUUACCUGAAGACGGUGCGCUAACCGCAAGGAGGCAGCCGGCCACGGUAGGGUCAGUGACUGGGGUG